This 468-nucleotide ribosomal RNA is filed under the name uncultured bacterium. Its description in RNAcentral is "partial 16S ribosomal RNA". It matches the Rfam family "Bacterial small subunit ribosomal RNA", at positions 28 to 507 of the family's 1533-position model. The record is from RNAcentral.
GACGAACGCUGGCGGCGUGCUUAACACAUGCAAGUCGAACGGAAAGGCCCUGCUUUUGUGGGGUGCUCGAGUGGCGAACGGGUGAGUAACACGUGAGUAACCUGCCCUUGACUUUGGGAUAACUUCAGGAAACUGGGGCUAAUACCGGAUAGGAGCUCCUGCUGCAUGGUGGGGGUUGGAAAGUUUCGGCGGUUGGGGAUGGACUCGCGGCUUAUCAGCUUGUUGGUGAGGUAGUGGCUUACCAAGGCUUUGACGGGUAGCCGGCCUGAGAGGGUGACCGGCCACAAUGGGACUGAGAUACGGCCCAGACUCCUACGGGAGGCAGCAGUGGGGAAUAUUGCACAAUGGGCGGAAGCCUGAUGCAGCAACGCCGCGUGCGGGAUGACGGCCUUCGGGUUGUAAACCGCUUUCGCCUGUGACGAAGCGUGAGUGACGGUAAUGGGUAAAGAAGCACCGGCUAACUACGUG